RNAcentral lists this ribosomal RNA (468 nucleotides) under uncultured bacterium. RNAcentral describes it as "partial 16S ribosomal RNA". It matches the Rfam family "Bacterial small subunit ribosomal RNA", at positions 28 to 507 of the family's 1533-position model. The record is from RNAcentral.
GACGAACGCUGGCGGCGUGCUUAACACAUGCAAGUCGAACGGAAAGGCCCUGCUUUUGUGGGGUGCUCGAGUGGCGAACGGGUGAGUAACACGUGAGUAACCUGCCCUUGACUUUGGGAUAACUUCAGGAAACUGGGGCUAAUACCGGAUAGGAGCUCCUGCUGCAUGGUGGGGGUUGGAAAGUUUCGGCGGUUGGGGAUGGACUCGCGGCUUAUCAGCUUGUUGGUGGGGUAGUGGCUUACCAAGGCUUUGACGGGUAGCCGGCCUGAGAGGGUGACCGGCCACAUUGGGACUGAGAUACGGCCCAGACCCCUACGGGAGGCAGCAGUGGGGAAUAUUGCACAAUGGGCGGAAGCCUGAUGCAGCAACGCCGCGUGCGGGAUGACGGCCUUCGGGUUGUAAACCGCUUUCGCCUGUGACGAAGCGUGAGUGACGGUAAUGGGUAAAGAAGCACCGGCUAACCACGUG